RNAcentral lists this ribosomal RNA (253 nucleotides) under uncultured bacterium. Its description in RNAcentral is "partial 16S ribosomal RNA". It matches the Rfam family "Bacterial small subunit ribosomal RNA", at positions 524 to 776 of the family's 1533-position model. The record is from RNAcentral.
UACGGAGGGUGCGAGCGUUGUCCGGAAUUACUGGGCGUAAAGCGCGCGCAGGCGGUUUUUCAAGUCAGUGGUGAAAGCCCGGAGCUCAACUCCGGAACUGCCAUUGAAACUGUGAAACUUGAGGAUGAGAGAGGUGAGUGGAAUUCCCAGUGUAGAGGUGAAAUUCGUAGAUAUUGGGAAGAACACCGGUGGCGAAGGCGGCUCACUGGCUCAUUUCUGACGCUCAGGCGCGACAGCGUGGGGAUCAAACAGG